Alosa sapidissima (American shad) is the source of this 121-nucleotide long non-coding RNA. RefSeq lists it as uncharacterized. The transcript is spliced from 3 exons. The record is from RefSeq and is a predicted model, not a curated record. NCBI's taxonomy places the organism in Eukaryota, Metazoa, Chordata, Actinopteri, Clupeiformes, Clupeidae.
CUUUCUAAUGAGUAGACACAGCACUCAAAAACCCUCCAUAGAAAGGCAUGGGUUUAGUUCGUAACUCCAAUAUAGCAGUUGUCUACACUUAUCCCACGAGGUUGGUGUUGUGAAGACUUGC